GACGAACCGUGCGAACGUUAUUCGGAAUCACUGGGCUUAAAGCGCGUGUAGGCGGGCCGGCACGUCCGGUGCUGAAAUCCCCCGGCUCAACCGGGGAACGGGCACGGAUACGACCGGCCUGGAGGGGCGUAGGGGGACCGGGAACUUCCGGUGGAGCGGUGAAAUGCGUUGAGAUCGGAAGGAACGCCCGUGGCGAAAGCGCGGUCCUGGACGCCUACUGACGCUGAGACGCGAAAGCCAGGGGAGCGAACGGG
This 254-nucleotide ribosomal RNA is filed under the name uncultured bacterium. RNAcentral's name for it is "partial 16S ribosomal RNA". It matches the Rfam family "Bacterial small subunit ribosomal RNA", at positions 524 to 776 of the family's 1533-position model. The record is from RNAcentral.